Molecule: ribosomal RNA, 799 nt
Filed under: Zangia erythrocephala
Lineage: Eukaryota; Fungi; Basidiomycota; Agaricomycetes; Boletales; Boletaceae
Description: eukaryotic LSU rRNA
Rfam family: Eukaryotic large subunit ribosomal RNA
Source: RNAcentral
CUGUCCGAGUUGUAAUCUAGAGAAGCGUCUUCCGCGCUGGACCGUGUACAAGUCUCCUGGAAAGGGAGCGUCAUAGAGGGUGAGAAUCCCGUCUUUGACACGGACGCCCAGUGCUAUGUGAUGCGCUCUCGACGAGUCGAGUUGUUUGGGAAUGCAGCUCAAAUAGGGUGGUAAAUUCCAUCUAAAGCUAAAUAUAGGCGAGAGACCGAUAGCGAACAAGUACCGUGAGGGAAAGACGAAAAGAACUUUGGAAAGAGAGUUAAACAGUACGUGAAAUUGCUGAAAGGGAAACGCUUGAUGUCAGUCGCGUCGGCCGGGGAUCAACCUUGCUUCAUCGCUCGGUGCACUUCCUGGUCGAUGGGUCAGCAUCAGUUUCGUGCUCGCCGUACAAGGGCGGAGGGAACGUGGCACUCUUCGGAGUGUGUUAUAGCCCUUCGUCGUAUGCGGCGGUCGGGACUGAGGAACUCGGCACGGGCUUCGGCCUUGUGCUUAGGAUGCUGGCAUAAUGGCCUUAAGCGACCCGUCUUGAAACACGGACCAAGGAGUCUAACUUGCCUGCGAGUGUUUGGGUGAAUAAACUCGGGCGCGUAAUGAAAGUGAAAGUUGGGACCUCUGUCGUGGAGGGCACCGACGCCCGGACCCGAGUCUUUGACGAAGGAUCCGCGGUAGAGCAUGCAUGUUGGGACCCGAAAGAUGGUGAACUAUGCCUGAAUAGGGUGAAGCCAGAGGAAACUCUGGUGGAGGCUCGUAGCGAUUCUGACGUGCAAAUCGAUCGUCGAAUUUGGGUAUAGGGCGAAAG